RNAcentral lists this ribosomal RNA (406 nucleotides) under uncultured bacterium. RNAcentral describes it as "partial 16S ribosomal RNA". It matches the Rfam family "Bacterial small subunit ribosomal RNA", at positions 29 to 526 of the family's 1533-position model. The record is from RNAcentral.
AUUGAACGCUGGCGGCAGGCCUAACACAUGCAAGUCGAGCGAGCGGGGGACGGGUGAGUAAUGUCUGGGAAACCGUCCCAUGGAGGGGGAGAAACCUUGGAAAAGGUGGCUAUAAUCCCACACCAUAUGAGGUGCCCAGAUGGGAGGAGCUCUUAGGUGGGGUAACGGCUCACCUAGGCGACGAUCCCCAGCUGGUCUGAGAGGAUGACCAGCCACACUGGGACUGAGGCACGGUCCAGACUCCGACGGGAGGACGCAGUGGGGAAUAUGGGACAAUGGGCGCAACCCUGAUGCAGCCAUGCCGCGUGUGUUAAGAAGGCCUUCGGGUUGUAAAGCACUUUCAGCGGGGAGGCGUUACCCGCAGAAGAAGCACCGGCUAACUCCGUGCCAGCAGCCGUGGUAAUAC